Molecule: unclassified non-coding RNA, 589 nt
Filed under: Hevea brasiliensis (rubber tree)
Lineage: Eukaryota; Viridiplantae; Streptophyta; Magnoliopsida; Malpighiales; Euphorbiaceae
Source: RNAcentral
GUGAUGCACCACUUCAAAAACCCGAGAUUUGAGCUCAUAAGGCACGACGUCGUAGAGCCCCUGUUGCUGGAAGUGGACCAGAUCUAUCACCUUGCUUGCCCGGCAUCGCCCGUGCAUUACAAGCACAACCCGGUCAAGACCAUAAAGACCAAUGUGGUGGGGACACUGAAUAUGCUGGGGUUGGCGAAGAAGAGGGUCGGUGCCAGAUUUUUGCUCACUAGCACCAGCGAGGUCUACGGUGAUCCUCUCCAGCACCCGCAGGUCGAGACUUACUGGGGCAACGUCAAUCCAAUCGGUGUCCGAAGUUGUUACGAUGAAGGAAAGAGGACGGCUGAGACACUGACAAUGGAUUACCACAGAGGAGCAGGUGUUGAGGUCAGGAUUGCCAGAAUUUUCAAUACCUAUGGGCCUCGAAUGUGCAUUGACGACGGCCGUGUUGUUAGUAAUUUCGUUGCUCAGGCAUUGAGGAAGGAGCCUUUGACUGUUUAUGGUGAUGGGAAGCAGACAAGGAGUUUCCAAUAUGUUUCUGAUUUGGUUGAAGGUCUGAUGCGCCUUAUGGAAGGGGAACAUGUGGGGCCUUUCAAUCUUG